GUGGGGAAUCUUGCGCAAUGGGCGAAAGCCUGACGCAGCCAUGCCGCGUGAAUGAUGAAGGUCUUAGGAUUGUAAAAUUCUUUCACCGGGGACGAUAAUGACGGUACCCGGAGAAGAAGCCCCGGCUAACUUCGUGCCAGCAGCCGCGGUAAUACGAAGGGGGCUAGCGUUGCUCGGAAUUACUGGGCGUAAAGGGCGCGUAGGCGGACAGCUUAGUCAGAGGUGAAAGCCCAGGGCUCAACCUUGGAAUUGCCUUUGAUACUGGCUGUCUUGAGUUUGGGAGAGGUGAGUGGAACUCCGAGUGUAGAGGUGAAAUUCGUAGAUAUUCGGAAGAACACCAGUGGCGAAGGCGACUCACUGGCCCAAUACUGACGCUGAGGCGCGAAAGCGUGGGGAGCAAACAGGAUUAGAUACCCCGGUAGUCC
RNAcentral lists this ribosomal RNA (425 nucleotides) under uncultured bacterium. RNAcentral describes it as "partial 16S ribosomal RNA". It matches the Rfam family "Bacterial small subunit ribosomal RNA", at positions 354 to 796 of the family's 1533-position model. The record is from RNAcentral.